AACGGUCUAUACCUGCGGUACCUGCGGAAGGAUCAUUACCGAGUUUACAAAACUCCCAAACCCUUUGUGAACCUUACCUAUCGUUGCUUCGGCGGGAACGCCCCGGCGCCCUCGCGGCCCGGAACCAGGCGCCCGCCGGAGGCCCCAAACCCUCAUGUCUUUAGUGGUUUCCUCCUCUGAGUGACAUAAACAAAUAAAGUAAAAACUUUCAACAAUGGAUCUCUAGAUCGGAAGAGCACA
This 240-nucleotide unclassified non-coding RNA is filed under the name soil metagenome. Its description in RNAcentral is "partial contains 5.8S ribosomal RNA, internal transcribed spacer 2, and large subunit ribosomal RNA". The record is from RNAcentral.